CCGCGCAAUCGUUUGGCAAAAUCUCCCCGGACACAGCUGGGCUCUGCAUCCACAGAUGAGCCGGCGUCCGUCCCGGAGGGGGGUCCGGGAAGACGGAGAGGACGGCCCGGGUGGUAGCAGACCCCGACCGGAGGCUUCCCAGGGAGAGGGCAGCACCACGGGAGUCCCACCCCGGCACUGAGCCAGAGCCCGGGCUGUGGGGGUGGUGUGGGGGCCUCCCCGGCCGGAGGGCUGAGAGGCUCAGGGACCAGGGAGGGACUCAGCUCCAGCCCCUUCGUGCGGCGCCCCGGCCCCUCGCCCUGGUCUCUCAGGCCCCGCCACCCUGCCCGGGGCCCUUGGAUUCAGGAGCACCUGCGUCCCCAAAGCGUGGCCAUCACGUGGCCUGCCUCGGCCCCUGCCCACAUCCCACACUCUUGGAGAGAAGCCCACGUUCUCACUGUGCCCCGUCCGUGUCUGGGUCCCGCUCCGUGUCAAGCACAGGCCCUGGCCCACCGCAGCACCCGAGCCGGUGACUGGGCAGCUCGGAAACACGGUGGGCGGGCCUCCAGUUGGGGGCAGCGGGGCCUCUGAGCCCUUCCCGGCAGGGGCUGGAGUCACUAAACCGCAGAGGGCUCCAGCCUCCCUCCGUGCCGUCCAGCAGCGCCGAGCAGCAGAGCCCUCCCCACGACUUCCCGUGCAACUUGCUCCCGCUCGGAGUCUGGGCUUCAACUUCGGGGCCGUUCUGCAGAGCCGUCUGGAAAUCAGUCAUCUGCCGGGCGAGGGAAGUUCUUACCCGUCUCUUUUGGCCAGAUGGCCAUUGCCGUGAGAGCAGUCAUGCCCUUGGCCCGACACUCCGCAGAGAUCGCACCUGGAGUUUCCGGGGAAGCCAGAGGUCCGCUGUGGCUUGUAGGAGUUGCCCUUUAACAGAAAGUGAGCGCCAGCAGGGGCAGAGAGAGAGGGAGAAUCCCAAGCAAGCUUCCCGCUGUCAGUGCAGAGCCCGACUCGGGACUUGAACUCACAGACCGGGAGAUCAUGACCUGAGCCGAUACCAAGAGUCGGACGCUCAACCAACUGAGCCAGCCAGGCGUCCCUGCAGACGCUCUAUUUCGAAAAGGAGAAUUAACGGGAAAAUGUGAGAACCAGAGGAUCUCACAUCAUCACGUGAGAUCAGAUGUCCUCUCUUUUCAGACAAGAAGCAUCUAGAAAUGGAGAAGGAAAACAGCCUCUUCUCCAUAGUGGGGAAGCCAGGAGCAGCGCAGGGGUGAGGGCGGAAGGGAAGAGCUGCCACUCUUCUCCCGUCCCUGCGGUCCAGCCCUGGGGUGGCCGUGCCCAUCUGGCACUCCCUCCACCGCCCUGCCCUCCCCGCGGUGUCUCCCCUCCCCCAGUCCCCAGCAUUACACGCCUUCUGCCUGAAAGACCUGGAGUGCCCCCCCCCCCAUCCGUGUGAGGAGAGUGUAGCAUCUCAUUUAAGGACGCAGAACAGACAUUCCGCUGUCCGGGUAAGAACUCUGGAGAUAAACGGUGUCAUUCUACGGAGACUGAUGUUCCAACGUAAUACAGUUUUAUUAGAUCCCCAGCAGGCCUGAGGGCUUUGUUGCUGUCUUAGGUAAAAUUAUUUUGAAGUUUAUACGAUAAGCGUCACGCGCUGAAUGUUCCCCCCUCCCCCAUCCGCAUGUUGAGGCCCUGACCCCUCCUGUAAUGGUGUUUGGAGGUCAGGCCUUUCGGAGGGGAUUUUAGACGAGGCCCCGUGAUGGCGUCAGUGCCCUUGUAAGAAAGGCUCUCCCUGUCCGCCAUCUGAGGACCCAGCAGAAGAUGCCCGCCAGCCGGGAGCGGGGCUUCCUCACCAAAAGCCAGCCGUGCGGGCACCUGAUCCCAGACUUUCAGCACCCCCCCCCCCCCCCCCCGUCUAGGGGGCAAUGGCAGCGCAAGCCAGCUGACUCAGGAGUAGACAAGAGCCCCAGUGUGCGCAGCCGGCCAGCACCGGUGUAGGAGAGGAGGCACCACAGCACGGCCCCAGCCUCAUGAGAGGCCAGACGGGAACGCGAGACCAGGGCCCUCGUUCCGGCACAAGAGGAAGCACCUUGUCACGCGUGGGGCCAGGACAGCCAGCUGCACCCAGCAGCACAUAAAAGGGAGGCCGCCCCGCAUCUUAAUCGAAAACAAAUUCAAGAUGUCUUAGAGACUCCGAUGUAAAAUAAAGUAAACUAAAGACGCUGCCAGGAAGUCUGGGAGACCGCGAGCGGCCCAGGCAGGGGCGAGGAGUCCUUGCAACGCAGGAGGCACCUAAAAGAAAUUCUAAAUAUGCCGGUCACUCCUGCACUGUUGGUGGGAAAGGAAUCCAGGGACGCGGGCUCAAGGAACUCCUGCGUGUGGCCUCAGCCCCCACGUCCCCGGCCGCACCCGUCCGCCCCGCUGCCCCACACGGGACCGGCCCAGGGCCCCGAACCGCAUCUACUUGUGAGUCCUGGAGGCUGGGAGCCCGAGGUCCAGGCGUGGGCACGGCUGGGUCCUCCCGAGGCCCCUGUCCUGGGCGUGUGGACGGCACCUGCUCCCCCUGUCUUCACGAGGUCUGUGUCCAGAUUUCUUCCUCUUAUAAGGACACCAGUCGUGUUGGAUUAGGAUCCACCUUAAUGCCCAUAUUUAACAUAAUCGCCCCUUGAAAGACUCCGUCUCCCAAUACAGUUGGGGUCUGGGCUGUCCUGAGGGUCAGAGCGUCACCGUGCGAACGUGACGAGGGCUCAGCCCCUAGCACAGCCUUGGGCUUUGCUUCCAGAGAAUCGCCAACCUCGUGUGUUAAGGGCUGUUUCCGCUCGUGGCCUGGCUCAUAGAGGCGGGAAAAAGCACCUGAAAACAGAGAACUAGGAGACCAACAGGCAAGUGGUCACACGAAUAGGGUCAGGUCCACUGUGAUGUGGAACAGCUUCCUUUGGGAAAGAGCCUGAGCUCGGCCGGGUGGGCCGGAGGAGGCGUUUGCUUCGUCCUCCCCGGGGUUGUUGAGAUAGUCAGCAACACGUACCACUGUGCGGGUUUAACCUGGGCGCUGGGCAGGAUCGCUGCAUAUAUUCUGAGAACUCCUCGCCACAGGGAGGUCGGUUAACACACCCUUCGCCUCACUCACGUAAUUACCGUUUCGUUGUUGUCAUGGAGAUGCCACGUCCACAGCAGCGUCGAACAUACAACACGGUAUUGUUAACGCCAAACACCGUGCUGUACGUGAGAUCCCUGGACACUAACCAUCUUAGAACCGGGGAAGUUUUUUUUUUUUUAAGUUUAUUUAUUUAUUUUGAGAGAGACAGAGACAGCGCAAG
Molecule: long non-coding RNA, 3287 nt
Organism: Felis catus (domestic cat)
Lineage: Eukaryota; Metazoa; Chordata; Mammalia; Carnivora; Felidae
Exons: 4
Source: RefSeq, a predicted model, not a curated record